RNAcentral lists this ribosomal RNA (274 nucleotides) under uncultured prokaryote. RNAcentral describes it as "partial 16S ribosomal RNA". It matches the Rfam family "Bacterial small subunit ribosomal RNA", at positions 526 to 800 of the family's 1533-position model. The record is from RNAcentral.
CGUAGGGGGCUAGCGUUAUCCGGAAUUACUGGGCGUAAAGGGUGCGUAGGUGGUUUCUUAAGUCAGAGGUGAAAGGCUACGGCUCAACCGUAGUAAGCCUUUGAAACUGGGAAACUUGAGUGCAGGAGAGGAGAGUGGAAUUCCUAGUGUAGCGGUGAAAUGCGUAGAUAUUAGGAGGAACACCAGUUGCGAAGGCGGCUCUCUGGACUGUAACUGACACUGAGGCACGAAAGCGUGGGGAGCAAACAGGAUUAGAUACCCUGGUAGUCCCUGA